Paramisgurnus dabryanus is the source of this 1322-nucleotide non-coding RNA. Lineage: Eukaryota; Metazoa; Chordata; Actinopteri; Cypriniformes; Cobitidae. The record is from RefSeq and is a predicted model, not a curated record.
CGUGAUGACGACGUAUGUCACGUGAUGUAGCAAGAUGGCGGAUGUAGUACGUCCGAAUCUCAUUCAUACUACCAGGAUUCAUACUAUACAGUACCUACUGUUUUAACGGCAAGUAAGUAGGUACUUCAUCUAAUUCAGUACCUACUAUACAGUAUGCGGUUUCGGACGCAGCCUAGAUGCCCUAUUGGCCGCUGGGGACUGAGAAAUACGGCGGCCAUCUUAAACCGGUCGUUCUCCUAGUUUCGUUGCAUGGCAGCAGAUAAGAUGUCAGAGCACUGUGGAGCAUUUUCCUGUUCUAAUCGGCGGACGAUCGCAAAUAGAGCCCGGAGGAUUAUUUUCACAAGUACUUUUUAACAUCGCGGUACUAUUGGUUGUAUUUUGUGAAUAGAAUAUUAACAGAAAAUUGAGAAAGAGCCAGCUUAUUGUAGCCUGGUUAGCCAGACCUACAUCAAGAUGUAAGGUCUGGCAACUCUUCACACAAACGGCUCAAUGCAAGGGGCGGGAUAUAAGGUUGUCCCUCAAAAUGCCUCUGCACGCAAUAGGAUAGCGCUAUGACCAAUCAGAGCAACGAAGAACGAAGUUUUCAAGUAGGAACCGUCGCAGCUCUGUCGUCAUCAUGUUAAGCCCGCCCCACAGACGCUACACACGAUGUGAUUGGCCUGACCAAAUUUUGGUUUUUGGAGCUGUUAAGUGUAUUGUGAGUGCCUAGACUAAACCCUGGCAGCAAAUAUAUUUUGCGGCCGCUAGGGUGCGUCUAGAUUUCUAGGCUAAGCUUAUUGAUUUUACUGUACUGAAAUCGUAGCCAGCUAACGUUCGCUAGGAUGUUAACUGCACCAGCCGCUGUUCACCCUGCAAGGAGAGUGGGGUGCUGUGAGCUGCGUGAUCCGCCGAGCUUUAAAAAGCUGAGAUGUCAACAGGAACAGAGGAUGUUUUCCUUCGUAGGGAGGACAUUGAGGAGACUCGGUUUGGAAUCGACAACUAUCAGUCUGACUCGUUGUCAGUGGUUGUGUCUGUGUUUUUAAAGAUAAGGCUCCACCAUGUUGCCAAACUCACCUCUCUUGAACUACAGAAAGGGAGCACGGGAAAGAAGCUCUGGAAAACAGUCCUCUUUCAGGGGUGUGUGUGUGUGUGUGUGUGUGUGUGUGUGUGUGUGUGUGUGUGUGGGGGUGCGUGCGUGUGUGUGUGUGUGGGGGGGGGUUACAAAUCAUUUUAAAUUGUUUCUUCACCAUAUUAAAAAGUCUUAUUUUAUUGCAACUAUCUGUUUCUGCAUCUUUGUCAUAUUUAUAGUGUGUGAUUUAUAAAAUAUCUUAUGUCCUACACCA